UACAGAGGUCUCAAGCGUUGUUCGGAUUCAUUGGGCGUAAAGGGUGCGUAGGCGGCGCGGUAAGUCGGGUGUGAAAUCUCCGUGCUUAACAUGGAAACUGCCAUUGAUACUACUGAUCUUGAAUUUUCAGGAGGUAAGCGGAAUAUGUCAUGUAGCGGUGAAAUGCUUAGAUAUGACAUAGAACACCAAUUGCGAAGGCAGCUUACUACAGGAAUAUUGACACUGAUGCACGAAAGCGUGGGGAUCAAACAGG
Molecule: ribosomal RNA, 253 nt
Filed under: uncultured bacterium
Lineage: Bacteria
Description: partial 16S ribosomal RNA
Rfam family: Bacterial small subunit ribosomal RNA
Source: RNAcentral